UGGGGCGUCGCCAAGGGGUAAGGCAUCGGUUUUUGGUGCCGACAUUCGCAGGUUCGAAUCCUGCCGCCCCAA
This 72-nucleotide transfer RNA is filed under the name Deltaproteobacteria bacterium. Its description in RNAcentral is "tRNA-Gln". It matches the Rfam family "tRNA". From Rfam's summary of the family: Transfer RNA (tRNA) molecules are approximately 80 nucleotides in length. Lineage: Bacteria; Pseudomonadati; Myxococcota; Myxococcia. The record is from RNAcentral.